UCCCUCGUGGCGCAAUUGGCUAGCGCGUCAGACUGUUAUUCCUGAUCAAGGAGCCUCUUCACCGAGGAAUAGACAUCUGGAGGCUGUAAGUUCGACCCUUACCGAGGGAG
Cercophora newfieldiana is the source of this 110-nucleotide non-coding RNA. The record is from the annotation of a GenBank genome assembly. Lineage: Eukaryota; Fungi; Ascomycota; Sordariomycetes; Sordariales; Lasiosphaeriaceae.